Molecule: long non-coding RNA, 879 nt
Organism: Oncorhynchus tshawytscha (Chinook salmon)
Lineage: Eukaryota; Metazoa; Chordata; Actinopteri; Salmoniformes; Salmonidae
Source: Ensembl
UGUUCUCUGUUUAGUGAGUUCGUCAGAUUAGAGGCAGUAGGGAUGACCAGGGAUGUUCUCUGUUUAGUGAGUCCUCCAGAUCAGAGGCAGCAGGGAUGACCAGGGAUGUUCUCUGUUUAGUGAGUCCUCCAGAUCAGAGGCAGUAGGGAUGACCAGGGAUGUUCUCUGUUUAGUGAGUCCUCCAGAUCAGAGGCAGCAGGGAUGACCAGGGAUGUUCUCUGUUUAGUGAGUCCUCCAGAUCAGAGGCAGUAGGGAUGACCAGGGAUGUUCUCUGUUUAGUGAGUCCUCCAGAUCAGAGGCAGCAGGGAUGACCAGGGAUGUUCUCUGUUUAGUGAGUCGGCCAGAUCAGAGGCAGUAGGGAUGACCAGGGAUGUUCUCUGUUUAGUGAGUCCUCCAGAUCAGAGGCAGCAGGGAUGACCAGGGAUGUUCUCUGUUUAGUGAGUCCUCCAGAUCAGAGGCAGUAGGGAUGACCAGGGAUGUUCUCUGUUUAGUGAGUCCUCCAGAUCAGAGGCAGUAGGGAUGACCAGGGAUGUUCUCUGUUUAUUGAGUCCUCCAGAUCAGAGGCAGUAGGGAUGACCAGGGAUGUUCUCUGUUUAGUGAGUCCUCCAGAUCAGAGGCAGUAGGGAUGACCAGGGAUGUUCUCUGUUUAGUGAGUCCUCCAGAUCAGAGGCAGUAGGGAUGACCAGGGAUGUUCUCUGUUUAGUGAGUUCGUCAGAUUAGAGGCAGUAGGGACGACCAGGGAUGUUCUCUGUUUAGUGAGUCCUCCAGAUCAGAGGUAGUAGUGAUGACCAGGGAUGUUCUCUGUUUAGUGAGUCCUCCAGAUCAGAGGCAGUAGGGAUGACCAGGAAUGUUCUCUGUUUAGUGAGUCCUCCAGAUCAG